Schistocerca serialis cubense is the source of this 190-nucleotide small nuclear RNA. RefSeq annotates it as U2 spliceosomal RNA. The record is from RefSeq and is a predicted model, not a curated record. The transcript has a single exon. NCBI's taxonomy places the organism in Eukaryota, Metazoa, Arthropoda, Insecta, Orthoptera, Acrididae.
AUAUCGUGUAAGUAUUCUCUCAUCAGGUAAAAAAAUCAGAUCUUAUCAGCUUAACAUCUGUUACAUCCUGCAUCACAGGACUACAAUAUUUAACUUAUUUUUGGCUCAUGACAGACUGCGAAGAGCAUGAUUUACCUCUGUCACAGGAUGCCUCCUCACUUUCCAACUCUCUGAAGGUAGUCAAAUGCCU